UACGAAGGUGGCAAGCGUUACUCGGAAUUACUAGGCGUAAAGCGCAGGUAGGUGGUUGGAUAAGUCCGUAAUGAAAGCUCCUGGCCUAACCGGGAGAGGUUUAAGGAUACUGUCCGACUCGAGUGUGGGAGAGGUGACUGGAAUUCCUGGUGUAGCGGUGAAAUGCGUAGAUAUCAGGAGGAACACCAACGGCGAAAGCAGGUCACUGGCCCAAUACUGACGCUGAGCUGCGAAAGCUAGGGGAGCAAACAGG
RNAcentral lists this ribosomal RNA (253 nucleotides) under uncultured bacterium. RNAcentral's name for it is "partial 16S ribosomal RNA". It matches the Rfam family "Bacterial small subunit ribosomal RNA", at positions 524 to 776 of the family's 1533-position model. The record is from RNAcentral.